AUUCUGGGUCUUAGCUAAAAUUAUUGCCCCUCACAGGCGGAUGCGGUUCCCUGUCUCACUCACAGGAAGCGCCCAUGUGGGAGACACUGCAAGGGCAGCUCUGAGUGACUGAACCCUGAAACAGCCACACCGUGCAUCAGGCAACAAGAAUCAGACCAGACAGUUCAGACUACACAAGAAAACAUCCCCAAGAAGGACUUUGGAUAUGCAGACAUCGCCUUGACAUGUCUAGCACGCUGUACCACACUGCUGGGCGACUACAAGACAGGAGACGCGUAAGAGGGAAGGAAGCUGCAGGAAGAUAGGAGCAAGCAGUCAAGAUAUCUGCCUUCACUCAGCUCUGCGUGCUCCUAGAAGGAGGUUGGGCGAGGAGAACUUUUCCUGACAGAGGCCAGAUGCUGUCCUUUCUUCUCCUUAAACACACAAGACAUGCUGCAUGUUGACUUCUGCUUCUCCUAUUCCAGCUGUUGGCUUUUUUGUUCCCUGUGAAUAACCACGUUGAGCUGAAAGCCCAGACAACCUAGGGCAGACCUACAUGGACCAGGCAGCUAAACUGAGGAGGGUAUGAGAGGACGAGUAGAAAGCUGGAGUAGCAGGACCUCAGGAAAAUAAACAAACUGUCAAUCUUAGAUGUCUCAAAAGGUUUCAGCAGGUACCCACCCGACAAAAAGAUCACUGAACAUAACUUCCCAGGCUCUGUUUGCAUAGUUGUCAACUCUUGCAGGUGUUUUACC
This 734-nucleotide long non-coding RNA is filed under the name Gallus gallus (chicken). Its description in RNAcentral is "long non-coding RNA NONGGAT006899". The record is from RNAcentral. Lineage: Eukaryota; Metazoa; Chordata; Aves; Galliformes; Phasianidae.